Mus musculus (house mouse) is the source of this 869-nucleotide long non-coding RNA. RefSeq annotates it as predicted gene, 30360. The record is from RefSeq and is a predicted model, not a curated record. The transcript is spliced from 3 exons. Lineage: Eukaryota; Metazoa; Chordata; Mammalia; Rodentia; Muridae.
UCCCCCACAGAUCAUUGAAGACUCGAUCAUUCUCCCCGCCCAGGGGCGGAGCUUUGUGCAGUUUGCCGUCGAGGUCUCUGGAAGGCAAGGUGGCUGGGUGAGAAAGGGUGCUAGACUAGACGGGCAGGAUUGCAACCUUGAUCUGGGAGUCCUGCAUCUGUACAGAACCCCAACUCACUCAGCUCUCUCUGCGUAGCCUGUGGGCCCCAGGCAUCUUCAUCAGGAGCCCUCCCUCCCCACCUCCCAGUGCCACAGGGAAAGCGGUUCCUGGCUCCUGGGCAAAGCUCCAUGGCUGUGGCUUCACGCACCCCUGCCCCUCCCCAUUCCCCAGGGCUGAGAAUCCGGAAGCCUCCUGGAUCUGCCAUCAUCACCAAUAUCAGGUCGUUCCUGUCACAUCAUUUCAUCCUGACUGUGGAAGAAUAAUUGAUCCAGGGCGAGUGGUAAAGCCACAACUUUCAGCCUGUUGCUUAUGUUUACGCCUAGUCCUGGCUCCACUCAUCCUGCGAAGUAUGUGGGAUACCCAUCUCUGCUGUCCACUACGUAAGGUCCCGUGUGCACCAUGCCUGCCUAGCACACAGCACGAACAAGACACUCAGUCCAAUGAUAAUUCCUGAACAAUGGAGGGAGUUGCCGCACAGAGAGAUUAGGCUACUAGUCCAAGAUCACACAGCCAGAGAGAGAAGCUUGCUAAAGCUGGUUUUUGCUCUUGUCAUAGCUGGGCAUUCUGGGGAAUAGGGAUAUUACAUGGGGGACCCUGGAAGUAUAUCUGGCUAGACCACAUACUCAUGAAGAGUUGUAGUAGUUUUUUUAAAAAUUUCAUUAAAUUUAAAAAGUAUGUGUGUGUGUGUGUGUGUGUGUAUGUGCCCGUG